CCCAGCUGCUCUGGCAGGGCUCUGAUUUAUUGGUACUUUCUGACCCUUCUUUCUCAGGUCUGCGAUGGCCUGGGAAGCUGAGGAGUCCUGCCCCUCCUGCCCCUAGGUGCAACCCCUUGGGGCCCUGCUGCCCCUCAGUAGGCAGAGGCCCAGGGAUGGCAGAGGAUACCCUUCCAGAGUGCUCGGGAGGAAGACCACAGCCCUACCUUCUGCCUGGCAUGCGUACCACCCCCAGCAGGACCUUGGCACAUGGCUCUGGAGAUGCUGCUCCCGGUAAUUGCGGUAAUCAGGAGUCAUGUCUCAAGUCCACUUCCCUGUUCUAUUUGCUAUGGUCACAUUCAGGGUGAGCCGUAGUUUCCAGCUGGAUUUCGGGCCCUUGCACAGAUGGACUGAAAUGUACCCAAGACUGCCAAGGACUCCCCAAGGGUAAAUGAAUUUUGCGUUUUCUCAGAGAGGGAUUUCCAAGAAUUGUGAAGUAGCACUGUGCUAGCUCUGGGGGAGGCUUCUGUCUCCUGAAAUUUUCACCAUCAUUCCAAGCUGAGCGGGUCAUCCAGAGACUGUAGGAGUGACUGAGAGUCCCCCAACCUCCUCCGUACACACAAGGAAACUACUUUCUAGAGAACUUCCUCUAAUCACUGAUCUCCAGCAAAACAAGCAAACCAGCCUGUCCUUGGCUUUGCAGUUGGCCAAAAUGGAGUCAGCCUCUGCUCAGCAAGCCCUGCUGUGAGUGGGCACUGUGCUCACAGUGAGCUGUGUGCUAUUUCUUGAAUCUCCCAAUGGCCCUGCCUGUCUCUUGUCCAUCUUGGGAAGGAAGGGAUGCCUAGGAAGGGUGACAAGCCAAGCCAUCCCAGGGUCGGCUUCUGAGCUGAGCUGCACCCCAGCUCCCUCUGCCCACACAGCCCAGCACCACAGCAUGGAGAGAGCCAAGGUGUCCCCACCCUUCCUUCCUCCGCAUGAUCUGUAGCUGAACGUGACUGCCAGGGGAGCAGUGUCAGAUGGGGGUGUGCAUAGACCCACUCAGUUUGCAGGGCUAGGUCUGCUCAGGUCCGCUCACGAUGCCAACAAAUAUGGCUAACAAAGGAUGGAGAGGAUCCCGGAUUCCUCACCCC
RNAcentral lists this long non-coding RNA (1109 nucleotides) under Fukomys damarensis (Damara mole-rat). Its description in RNAcentral is "lncRNA (ENSFDAG00000022366.1)". The record is from RNAcentral. Lineage: Eukaryota; Metazoa; Chordata; Mammalia; Rodentia; Bathyergidae.